UCCAAUGGAUGCUGUCGAGGUUCCCUGCUCGCGAUCCGGCAACGGGUCGCGCGGCAGGGCUAAGACGGGAAGCCGGUGACGUCCGCGAGGACGGAGUCCGGCGCUGCCCCCGCAACUGUAAGCGGCGAGCGGCGGUUUCAACCAUGCCACUGGCGCCCCGCGAGGAGCGCCGGGAAGGCCGGAGCCGCCGUGACGACCCGUGAGCCAGGAGACCUGCCUCCGACGCGAUAACGUU
This 235-nucleotide non-coding RNA is filed under the name Rhizorhabdus wittichii. RNAcentral also lists the same sequence under 1 other name. Lineage: Bacteria; Pseudomonadati; Pseudomonadota; Alphaproteobacteria; Sphingomonadales; Rhizorhabdaceae. The record is from RNAcentral.